This 479-nucleotide ribosomal RNA is filed under the name uncultured Glomus. RNAcentral describes it as "SSU rRNA". It matches the Rfam family "Eukaryotic small subunit ribosomal RNA", at positions 569 to 1052 of the family's 1831-position model. Lineage: Eukaryota; Fungi; Glomeromycota; Glomeromycetes; Glomerales; Glomeraceae. The record is from RNAcentral.
AGCAGCCGCGGUAAUUCCAGCUCCAAUAGCGUAUAUUAAAGUUGUUGCAGUUAAAAAGCUCGUAGUUGAAUUUCGGGAUCGACGGGUCGGUCGCGCCUCUGGUGUGUACUGGCCCUGUCGGUUUCUCCCUUCUGACGAACCACGAUGUCAUUAAUUUGGUGUCGUGGGAAAUCAGGACUGUUACUUUGAAAAAAUUAGAGUGUUUAAAGCAGGCAUUCGCUUGAAUACAUUAGCAUGGAAUAAUGAAAUAGGACGUUUGAUCUUAUUUUGUUGGUUUCUAAGAUCGACGUAAUGAUUAAUAGGGAUAGUUGGGGGCAUUAGUAUUCAAUUGUCAGAGGUGAAAUUCUUGGAUUUAUUGAAGACUAACUACUGCGAAAGCAUUUGCCAAGGAUGUUUUCAUUAAUCAAGAACGAAAGUUAGGGGAUCGAAGACGAUCAGAUACCGUCGUAGUCUUAACCAUAAACUAUGCCGACUAGGGA